AUCAACUUUCGAUGGUAGGAUAGAGGCCUACCAUGGUGGUAACGGGUAACGGGGUGUUAGGGCACGACACCGGAGAGGGAGCCUGAGAAACGGCUACCACAUCCAAGGAUGGCAGCAGGCGCGCAAAUUACCCAAUCCCGACACGGGGAGGUAGUGACAAUAAAUAACAAUACGGGGUUCUUUAGGAUCUCGUAAUUGGAAUGAGUACAAUUUAAAUCUCUUAACGAGGAACAAUUGGAGGGCAAGUCUGGUGCCAGCAGCCGCGGUAAUUCCAGCUCCAAUAGCGUAUAUUAAAGUUGUUGCAGUUAAAAAGCUCGUAGUUGAAUUUCGGGGUCAGUAGGUCGGUCGUGCCACUGGUAUGAACUGGUUUUACUGAUUCCUCCCUCUUGAAGAACUGUAAUGCCAUUAAUUUGGUGUUGCAGGGAAUCAGGACUGUUACUUUGAAAAAAUUAGAGUGUUUAAAGCAGGCUUUAGCUUGAAUACAUUAGCAUGGAAUAAUGAAAUAGGACGUUUGAUCCUAUUUUGUUGGUUUCUAGGAUUGACGUAAUGAUUAAUAGGGAUAGUUGGGGGCAUUAGUAUUCAAUUGUCAGAGGUGAAAUUCUUGGAUUUAUUGAAGACUAACUACUGCGAAAGCAUUUGCCAAGGAUGUUUUCAUUAAUCAAGAACGAAAGUUAGGGGAUCGAAGACGAUCAGAUACCGUCGUAGUCUUAACCAUAAACUAUGCCGACUAGGGAUCGGAUGAUGUUAAUUUUUUAAUGACUCAUUCGGCGCCUUACGGGAAACCAAAGUGUUUGGGUU
Molecule: ribosomal RNA, 798 nt
Filed under: Glomeromycotina sp.
Lineage: Eukaryota; Fungi; Glomeromycota
Description: SSU rRNA
Rfam family: Eukaryotic small subunit ribosomal RNA
Source: RNAcentral